GGACCGGGUAACGCUCCCAGAUCGCCGCCGCCUAGCCCUAAAAAAAAAAGACCGCCGCCGCGUAGCCUUUCGCCGCCGGGUUCGAAGAGGGAGCCGGGGCACGCAAGGCGGCCUAUAGCCUAGAGAGAGACUGGUUCGGCGGGUGCGGGCCAGCGGCGCGGCAACGUCGUGGGUGGUGGGGCGGACGCGCAUCUCUACGACGACCCGGACGCCGCCGCCAUCCCGGCGCUCCUCGGCUCCCGCUUCGACGGCGAUUAGGUCGACGCUCAAGCACCUCCUCGCCCUCAUCUCGCAGGGCUCCUACGUCGCCCACCUCUUCCAGCAGGCCAUGGUUCUUCCAUCCUACCAUUAUCUUCUGAAACACACAUCAGUAUUCUUCAUACGGUGGUGGAUACCAGAGUGGUAGUACAACAAAAGACAUUGAUAUCCCAAAUGGAAGGUUGGUGUUAUCAUUGCAAAUGCUGGAGAAACUAUAAAGCUUAUCCAACUUCAAUCAGGGGCAAAGAUCCAAGUAACGAGGGAGAUGGAUGUUCAACUCGGGUUAGAGACAAGAUUGGUUGAUCUUUCGUGCACUCCUGACCACCUGACCAGAUAAGCAGAGCUGUGAUAUCUUUUUUAUCGUCUCGACUUCACAUUAGUUGUGCAUCCAUUUAUUCAACCAUGCUUGUCAUGUGACCUUUUUGUAGGCUGAUGCUGGCCCAUAUGGCACUAUCUCUAAUUGGAAGUACAAUGCACCUCAACCUAGUGUUGAGCAAUUCCAGAUGCAAAUUGCUAACAAGGUAAACUGGGUCCUUUCUUGACGAGAUAGUCAAAGAUGUUCGGUGGAUUAUGAAAAUUUAUGUCUAGUAAAUGAGCAUGGUGGUUAUUAUAUUGGUGGAUAAAUAGAUCUUUAAUAAACUUGAAGCAAUUUGGAUUUAGUUAGGCGAUUAUGAUCUUGAACCAAAUUUCAUGGUGGAUUACGAGAUUUUGAUGCAUUCAUUUAGUUCAUUGUGAUCUUGAGGAGAUAGUCAAAGAUGUUCGGUGGAUUAAUUAAUCUUGGACAAUUUGGAUUUUGUUAGGAGGUUGUGAUAUUGAACCGUACUUCAUGAUGGAUUAUGAGAUUUUAGGUUGAUUUAGUUAUGUGAUUUAAUCUUGAGAAGAUAGUAAAAAUGUUCGGCGGAUUAUGAGAUUUUAGGUAUGAUAGAUGUGCAUGGUGAUUAUUAUAUUGGUGGAUAAAUAGAUCUUUAAUAUUGUUUGGAACAUUUUGGAUUUAGUUAAGUGAUUGUGAUCUUAAACCAAAUUUCAUGAUGGAUUAUGAGGUUUUGGUUGGAUUUAUUUAGGUGAUUGUGAUCUUGACAAGCUAGUAAAAGAUGUUCGGUGGAUUAUGUGAAUUUAGGUCUGGUAGGUGAGCAUGGUGGUUAUUAUAUUGGCGAAUAAGUAAAUUUUUAAUAAACUUGAGAAAAUUUGGAUUUAGUUAGACGAUUGUGAUCUCGAACAAAAUUUCAUGGUGGAAUACGAGAUUUUAGAUGGAUUUAGUCAAUUGAUUGUGAUCUUGAGGAGAUACUCAAAGAUAUUCGAUGGAUUAAUUAAUCUGAACAAUUUGGAUUUAGUUAGGCUAUUGUGAUAUUUAACCGAAUUUCGCAAUGAUUUAUGUGAUUUCAGGUGGAUUUAGUUAAGUAAUUAUGAUCUUGGGAAGAUGGCCAAAAAUGUUCGAUGGAUUUUAAGAUUUUAGGUCUAAUAUGUGAGCAUGGUGACUAUAAUAUUGGUGGAUAAACAGACCUUCAAUUUAGUUUGAAACAAUUUGAAUUUAGUUAGGUGAUUGUGAUCUUUUAACCAAAUUCACGGUGGAUUUUGAUGUUUGGGUUGGAUUUAGUUAGGUGAUUGUGAUCUUGACGAGAUAGUCAAAGAUGUUCGAUGGAUUAUGUGAGAAUUUAUGUCUAGUAGUGUGCAUGGUGGUUAUUAUAUUGGUGGAUAAAUGGAUUUUUAGUAAACUUGGAGCAUGGUGGUUAUUAUAUUGGUGAUUUAUUUGAUUGUAGGUGGAUUUAGUUAGGUGAUUGUGUCUUUAGAAGAUAGUCAAAAUGUGCGGUGGAUUAUGAGAUUUUAGGUAUGAUAAAUGAGCAUGGUGAUUAUUAUAUUGGUGCAUAAAUAGAUCUUUAAUUUAGUUUGGAACAAUUUGGAUUUAGUUAGGUGGUUAUGAUUUUUCAACCAAAUUCAUGGUGGAAUUUGUGGUUUUGUUGGAUUUAGUUAGCUAGGUGACGGUGAUCUUGAUGAGAUAGUCAAUGAUGUUUUGUGAAUUAUGUUAAUUUAGGUCUAGUAAGUGAGAAUGGUGAUUGUUAUAUUGGUGAAUAAAUGGUCUUUAGUAAACAUGGAGCAAUUUGGAUUUAGUUAGGCGAUUGUGAUCUUGAACAAAUUUCAUGUUCGAUUACGAGAUUUGGAUUUAGUUAGUAGAUUGUGAUCUUGGGUAGAUGUCAAAGAUGUUUGGUGGAUUAGUUGAUCUUGAACAAUUUUGAUUAAUGAGAUUGUGAUAUUGAACCAAAUUUCUCGGUGAUUUAUGAGAUUUUAGUUGGACUUACUUAGGUGAUUGUGUCUUCAGAAGAUAGUCAAAGAUGUUUGGUGGAUUAUGAUAUUUUAGGUGUAAUAGAUGAGGAUGGUGAUUAUUAUAUUGGUGGAUAAACAGAUAUUUAAUUUAGUUUGGAACAAUUUGGAUUUAGUUAGUUGAUUGUGAUCUUUUGAUCAAAAUUUACGGUAGAUUUUGAGGUUUUGGUUGGACUUAGUUAAGGUGAUUGGGAUCUUGACGAGCUAGUAAAAGAUGUUAAGUAGAUUAUGUGAAUUUAGGUCUAGUAGGUGAGCAUGUUGGUUAUUAUUUGGCGGAUAAAUAAACUUUUAGAAACUUGGAAAAAUUGGGAUUUAGUUAGGCGAUUGUGAUCUUGAACCAAAUUUUAUGGUGGAUUAUGAGAUUUUUGAUUGAUUAGUUUGUUGAUUGUGAUCUUGAGAAGAUAGUCAAAAAUGUUCGGUGUAUUAAUUAAUCUUGAACAAUUUAGAUUUAGUUGGGUGAUUGUGAUAUUAAACCAAAUUGUGUCUUGAGAAGAUAGUCAAAGAUGUUUGAUGGAUUAUGAGAUUUUAGGUCUAAUAGAUGAGCAUGGUGAUUAUUAUAUUGGUGGAUAAACAAAUAUGUAAUUCAAUCUGGAACAAUUUGGAUUCAGUUAGGUGAUUGUGAUUUUAGUGAGCUAGUAAAAGAUGUUCGGUGGCUUAUGUGAAUUCUGAUCUAGUAGGUGAGCAUGUUGACUGUUAUAUUGUGUCACGACCCGACUCCGGUAGGAUUUCGCUGGCGUCGUGCUACAUCAGCUAUGACGAGUGGAAUUAAAAUCGGGAGAAGAGAGGAAACAGAGGUAGAAGAAAGCAACAAGAUAGAAUAGACAGAAAAUGAGAGGCUAGAGUUCAAUAUCAAAUUUUUGAUAAGUUUCCCUCCUCGGGACCUUGCUUAUAACACGUAGGCUUACAUGACGCGAUUACACGACCCGUUGGCCCAACAGCUCACUCACUCACAGCCCCGCAGGCCCACACUUCAUUUGAGUUUUCCCUCGUCUGCUUUACGCCUUCGUCGUGUUCCCUUUACGUCUUCAGGUUAGCGAAGCCACCAUCGCCAAUGCCUCAGGAAUGACAUAUUGGUAGAGAAGUGGAUCUUUUAGUAAACACAGAGCAAUUUGGAAUUAGUUAGGCGAUAACAAAUUUCAUGGUGGAUUACGAGAUUUUCAAUAGAUUUUGUUGAUUGUGAUCUUGAGGAGGUAGUCAAAGAUGUUCGGUGGAUUAAUUAAUCUUGUACAAUUUGGAUUUAGUUAGGUGAUUGUGAUAUUGAACCAAAUUUCUCUAUGAUUUAUGAGAUUUUAGUUGGAUUUAGUUAGGUGAUUGUGUUUUGAGAAGAUAAUCAAAGAUUUUUGGUGGAUUAUGAGAUUUUAGGUCUAAUAGACGAGCAUGAUGAUUAUUAUAUUGGUGGAUAAAAAUAUUUAAUUUAGUUCGGUGAUUGUGAUCUUUUAACCUAAUUUUAUGAUGGAUUAUAAAGUUUUGGUUGGAUUUAGUUAUGUGAUUGUGAUUUUGACGAGCUAGUAAAAGAUGUUUGGUGGAUUAUGUGAAUUUCGGUAUAGUAGGUGAGCAUGUUGAUUAUUAUAUUGGUGGAUAGAGAUGAGGGCCACACAAGUGACUCAAGGCGAUGAUGCCACUACUGAAAAUAAUUGGUAAACAAGGCAACAUAGGUGGAGAGACUGUGGGUAGUGGCAGCAGAUGGACUUGAUCCAGCAUCCCACAUGCCUGUGCACCCUUCAUUCUCCCCGAUCCGGCUUGGUGUCCUUGUCCUGUUUGCGGAUUUUGUGUCACGCACUUGAUUAAGCAUCCAACGUUCUCCUACUGUGCGCCCUUAGCCUUGACGAUAGGUAGCGCCGUGUUCUCGGGCCCGUCCCGUGGGUAAAAUCCAGGUAUGCGCCGAUUGUUUGAGCUCUUGCUCGCCAUUGGUGGUGCUUGAGCGUGCGGUUAUGGUGUCACGCAGCAAGGGAACACGGGAUGUGGGAUCAAGACAGCACAAAUAGCAACCCGCCACCAGGCAACGGAUGCCCAUCCGGACUUACAGGGAGCGGAGGUGGACACAAAGGUGGAUGUUGAGCUCCAUAGCAGUCUCAAAAAUGUGGUCAUCAGUAAGAGCAACACGAGCAAGAAGAUCCUGGAUAUACUUCUCUUAGGAAAUAAAGAAGCCAUUAGAGGUGAAAGAAACCUCAAUCUCAAAGAAGUAGCGACUUUAAACAUGGAGCAAUUUGGAAUUAGUUAGGCGAUUGUGAUCUUGAACAAAUUUCAUGGUGGAUUACGAGAUUUUCAAUAGAUUUUGUUGAUUGUGAUCUUGAGGAGGUAGGCAAAGAUGUUCGGUGGAUUAAUUAAUCUUGUACAAUUUGGAUUUAGUUAGGUGAAUGUGAUAUUGAACCAAAUUUCUCUAUGAUUUAUGAGAUUUUAGUUGGAUUUAGUUAGGUGAUUGUGUCUUGAGAAGAUAAUCAAAGAUUUUUGGUGGAUUAUGAGAUUUUAGGUCUAAUAGACGAGCAUGGUGAUUAUUAUAUUGGUGGAUAAACAUAUUUAAUUUAGUUCAGUGAUUGUGAUCUUUUAACCUAAUUUUAUGAUGGAUUAUAAAGUUUUGGUUGGAUUUACUUAUGUGAUUGUGAUUUUGACGAGCUAGUAAAAGAUGUUUGGUGGAUUAUGUGAAUUUAGGUCUAGUAGGUGAGCAUGUUGAUCAUUAUAUUGGUGGAUAGAGAUGAGGGCCACACAAGUGACUUAAGGCGAUGAUGCCACCACUGAAAAUAAUUGGUAAACAAGGCAACAUAGGUGGAGAGACUGGGGGUAGUGGCAGCAGAUGGACUUGAUCCAGCAUCCCACGUGCCUGUGCACCCUUCGUUCCCCGCUGAUCCGGCUUGGUGUCCUUGUCCUGUUUGCGGAUUUUGUGUCACGCACUUUAUUAAGCAUCCCAUGUUCUCCUACUGUGCGCUCUUAGCCUUGACGAUAGGUAGCGACGUGUUCUCGGGCCCGUCCCGUGGGUAAAAUCCAGGUAUGCGCCGAUUGUCUCAGCUCUUGCUCACCAUUGGUGGUGCUUGAGCGUGCGGUUAUGGUGUCACGCAGCAAGGGAACACGGGAUGUGGAUCAAGACAGCACACAUAGCAACCCGCCACCAGGCAAGGAUGCCCAUCCAGACUUAUAGGGAGCGGAGGUGAACACAAAGGUGGAUGUUGAGCUCCAUAGCAGUCUCUAAAGUGUGCUUAUCAGUAAGAGCAGCAUGAGCAAGAAGAUCCUGGAUAUACUUCUCUUAGGAAAUAAAGAAGCCAUUAGAGGUGAAGAAACCUCAAUCUCAAGGAAGUAGCGACUUUAAACAUGAAGCAAUUUGGAAUUGGUUAGGCGAUUGUCAUCUUGAACAAAUUUCAUGGUGGAUUGUGAGUUUUUUCAAUGGAUUUUGUUGAUUGUGAUCUUGAGGACAUAGUCAAAGAUGUUCGAUGGAUUAAUUAAUCUUUAACUCUGUGAUUUAUGAGAUUUUAGUUGGAUUUAGUUAGGUGAUUGUGUCUUGAGUGUGCGGUUAUGGUGUCACGCAGCAAGGGAACACGGGAUGUGGGAUCAAGACAUCACACGUAGCAACCCGCCACCAGGCAACGGAUGCCCAUCCGGACUUACAAGGAGCGGAGGUGGACACAAAGGUGGAUGUUGAGCUUCAUAGUAGUCUCAACAAUGCACUCAUCAGUAAGAGCAGCACAAGCAAGAUCUUGGAUAUACUUCUCUUAGGAAAUAAAGAAGCCAUUAGAGGUAGAAGAAACCUCAAUCUCAAGGAAGUAGGGACUUUAAACUGGAGCAAUUUGGAAUUAGUUAGGCGAUUGUGAUCUUGAACAAAUUUCAUGGUGGAUUACGAGAUUUUUAAUGGAUUUUGUUGAUUGUGAUCUUGAGGAUAUAGUCAAAGAUGUUCGGUGGAUUAAUUAAUCUUUAACUCCAUAAUUUAUGAGAUUUUAGUUGGAUUUAGUAGUGAUUGUGUCUUGAGAUGAUAAUCAAAGAUGUUUCGUGGAUUAUGAGAUUUUAGGUCUAGUAGAUGAGCAUGGUGAUUAUUAUAUUGGUGGAUAAACAAAUAUUUAAUUUAGUUUGAAAUUUUUUGGAUUUAGUAGGUCAUUGUGAUCUUUUAACCUAAUUUUAUGGUGGAUUAUAAGGUUUUGGUUGGAUUUAGUUAGUUUAUUGUGAUUUUGACGAGCUAGUAAAAGAUGUUUGAUGGAUUAUGUGAAUCUAGGUCUAGUAGGUGAGCAUGUUGAUCAUUAUAUUAGUGGAUAAAUGACUCUUUAAUAGAUUUGGAACAAUUUGGAUUUAGUUAGGCAAUUGUGGUCUUAAACCAAAUUUUAUGGUGGAUUAUGAGAUUUUUUAUGGAUUAGUUAGUUGAUUGUGGUCUUGAGGAUAUAGUCUAAGAUGUUUGGUGGAUUAAUUAAUGUUGAACAAUUUGGAUUUAGUUAGGUGGUUGUGAUACUUAACCGAAUUUCACGCUGGAUUAUGAGAUUUUAGGUGGAUUUAGUUAAGUGAUUGUGUCUCGAAAAUAUAUACAAAGAUGUUUGCUCGACUAUUAGAUUUUAGGUUUAGUAGAUGAGAAUGGUGAUUAUUAUAUUGGUAGAUAAACAAAUCUUUAAUUCAGUUUGGAACAAUUUUGAUUUAGUCAGGUGAUUGUUAUUUUUCAACCAAAUUCAUGGUGCAUUUUGUGGUUUUGGUGGAUGUAGUUAGGUGACUGUGAUCUUGACGAGAUAGUUAAAGAUGUUUGAUGAAUUAUGUUAAUUUAGGUCUAGUAAGUGAGCAUGGUGGUUAUUAUAUUGAUGGAUAAAUGGAUCUUUAGUAAACAUGUUUGGAUGUAGUUAGGCGAUUGUGAUCUUGAACAAAUUUCACGGUGGAGUACGAGAUUUUCAAUAGAUUUACUUAGUGAAUUGUGAGCUUGGGGGGAUGUUAAAGAUGUUUGGUGGAUUAUUAGUUAGGUGAUUGUGAUAUUGAACCAAAUUUCUUGGUGAUUUAUGAGAUUUUAGUUGGAUUUAGUUAAAAUUUCUUGGUGAUUUAUGAGAUUUUAGUUGGAUUUAGUUAGGUGAUUGUGUCUUGAGAUGCUAAUCAAAGAUGUUUAGUGGAUUAUGAGAUUUUAGGUCUAGUAGAUGAGCAUGGUGAUUACUAUAUUGGUGAAUGAACAAAUAUUUAAUUUAGUUUGGAACAAUUUGGAUUUAGUUAGGUGAUUGUGAUCUUUUGACCAAUUUUUAUGGUGGAUUAUGAGCUUUUGGUUGGAUUUAGUUAGUUGAUUGGGAUCUUGACGAGCUAGAAAAAGAUGUUCGGUAGAUUAUAUGAAUUUAGGUCUAGUAGGUGAGCAUGUUGGUUAUUUUAUUGAUGGAUAAAUAAAUUUUUAAUAAACUUGGAAAAUUUUGAAUAUAGUUAGGUGAUUGUGAUCUUGAACCAAAUUUUAUGGUGGAUUAUGAGAUUUUUGAUGGAUUAGUUAGUUGAUUGUGAUCUUGAGGAUAUAGUCAAAGAUGUUCGUCUCAUUAAUUAAUCUUGAACAAUUUGGAUUUAGUUAGGUGAUUGUGAUAUUGAACGAAAUUUCUUUGUGAUUUAUGAGAUUGUAGUUGGAUUUAGUUUGGUGGUUGUGCCUAGAAGAUAGUCAAAGAUGUUUGGUGGAUGAUUAUGAGAUUUUAGGUCUAAUAGAUGAGCAUGGUGAUUAUUAUAUUGGUGGAUAAAUGAAUCUUUAAUAAAUUUGAAAGAAUUUGGAUUUAGUUAGGCGACUGUGAUCUUGAAUCAAACUUUAUGGUGGAUUGUGAGAUUUAAUUCGGCUGCGCUCCCCCUCUUCGUCGAGGAGCAUGCGCAGUGCGGUGGUGUGGCUGUUCGUGCGGUGGGGUCAGAAGUUGGGGCGCCGACACCCGCAGCUUGUGCACAAUGGCGACUCCACGUAAGCGCCCCGGAACCCUCUCCUUCCCGGCACAGCAGGAGCAGGAGCAAGGAUGCCGAGGCGGUUAAGGUGAAUGGUGCUUUAGCUUCAAUGACCAAUUUUAUUGCUAAAUAUUUUUCUCACUGGAAGUGUCAAAGAAUACACAACUUGUCGCGAGGAAGAGUAGGAAGAUCAGGCGGAGAGGGUUUCACAUACCUCUUCUACAUUGACAAGUCUUUGCUUUCCAGGAUUGCCAUGGUGAGCUGCUGCUGUAAUGCUUUGAUUUUCUUUUGUUUUGUCACUUUUUAAAACUUUGUUCUCUUAUUCUGAUGCUAUGAUUUGUGAUGGCUAGAUGAGACUUGUGGUGAAAAGUCUCCGUUAUUUUGUUUACCUACAGAUCUUGAAUGUGCGAUUGAUAAUUUUGCUGGAUAGGUUAGAAAUCUAAAUAAUAGACAUUUUAAAAGAUGUAUUGUUAAACAUGGAAAGCCAAGAAAGAUAUAUAGCUUACUUGCAGUGUUGUUUGAUCCAUCGCUCUGCGGCAGGCUCACUGAUAGACUUGAAGUAUGCCUAAUCUUGGACUGAAUUUAUUGCCUAUUGUUGGUGUGUUUCUUUUAUUCUAUAUUUAGGGGGUUCUAAGCUGUUGAAUUAGGAAGCAUACAGUUUAUCCCUUGAUCCGCUUCAGUCUGUUGGCUGAUAUUCCGCACAGCGACAAGAGACUUGCUGGCUUCAAGAAGGAUAAGAAGCAGCUGGGCACUGAGAUUCACCGCAAAUACAUCUAUGAAGGUCAUGUUGCUGACUACAUGAAGAUCUCUAUUUUCUCUCAUGCACUCCCCUGCUGGUGAACAGAGAGGGACGAAUCCGGCCACCAGCGCAAAAGAUCAGGGUGGAUCCAAGCCAUCACCGCCUCUCCUUUACUGCCUUGGAUGAUGGCCACCUCCCAGGUGCAGUCAAUGUGGAGGCCAAAAUCGAAAUUGCGAAAGAGAAGUGAUGCCUCCUCUUCUGUGCUGCUGCAUCAUGGCGCCCCUCUGGUGGCUUGCCUACUUUCAGAACGAAGAGGUGGCGGCAGGUGGAGGAGGGAGCAUGACGCUGGGCAGGAUGCGGUGGAUCACAACCAGGUGAUAAUUGGGUGGGAGCAAAAAGGAGAGCAGGCAAUGACCCUCUUCAAAUUUGGCUUCGGUAAGGAGAGCAGGCAAUGACGCUCUUUCAGUUUGGCGUCGGUAAGGCCAGAAUGACAGGCCUAAGCUCCUGGUGAUAUCCUACUCCACUCAGUUUCUUCUUCUUCCAUGCCUACACAGCUCUAUCUUUUCUUAGUUUAAACCCGUCUAAAUUUCUGUCAUAUAAAAUCUUAUGAAACAAUGUGCUACUAUUAUUAUUACUGAACUAUGUCAAUCUGUUUCUUUUUUGAAGUGGGAAGGGAUGAAUUGAACAAGGAGGAAGGACAACGUGUUUGUUCUUCAACCAUUUCCCUCUGAAACCUAGCUUAGGAUUGUCCCCUGUUAAGUGUGUGGUUUUACCUGCUACUAAAUUAGUCAUGCACACAUGUUUUCAAUCUUCGACUGUUUCUUGCCUCUGAAACCCAAGUUAGGACUGUCCCUUGUUAAGUGUGUGCUUGUACCUGCUGCUAAAUUAAUAAUGCACUUUCAUUUUGGUUGCAGAAAAUUGGGGGAAAUCAUGGCUAGAGCAUAUGUGAACUUGGCCUCCGGUCAUUUAGUCAGGUUUCUGGUUUUGCUUGGGAGAGUAUCAUGUGUUACCCAUUUGUUUAUUUAAAUAAUUUGCAUCUAAUUCUCGUGAACUAAAUCGUGCUUGGGAGAGUAGCAUGUGUUUCCCAGCAAGCUUGUUGCUUGCUUGUUUUAGAUUAUUGAUUUAGUUACAUAUACAUAGUCCUUUUGGACGGUUGGCUUGGCUGUUUGGAUCUGUUUUUAUGCAGAGAAAACUGUAUUCCAAUCAUAAAACUGAUACAACGGGCACACUAAUAUGACUGCUGUACUUUGAAAUCGACCAUUUGAUUAUUCGGGAGAUAUGUAUCAAAAGAAGGAAAAAAUGUGCGAACCAUUUGAUCGCUGGGUAGAUGUGUCAAGGAAAUAAAACAGACAACAUGUUUGUUCCUUUGGAUAUAUGCUGUCAAACAGAAAAUUCUUUUAAUUUAUUGGGGCGAAAGAAUUGUUGUUUGAGUUAUAAGUCUUAGCUACCUCUGCUCGCUUUUGAUGUUCAGUUCACUAAUUCCCUGCUCUUUCCUUAAUUUCUCCCUUCAAGAUUAUGCUUCACCGUCAACUAUUUGCUGUAGAAGAACACGAGAUGUGUGUCAAGCAUGAGCUGGUGUUCUAUUUUUGUAGGACGUAAAAUUUGCAGAUCUGUGCUGAUUGUUUGUUAAAACCAAAAUUGCAGCAUCGAUUGGCUUAGCUGCGCAAGUCCAUUGCUUACAAGGUGAUCUUGAUGAGGGGAAACAAGGGUGAACUAUGAAGUUUCAUGUUCCAGGAUGUGAUCUUCUCAAGAUGAUUGAUGUGCUGCAGUCUGGCGUUUGGCAUUUUGGCUUGGUCUAUGAAGACUACAGAUUUCUGUGGAAGAUCAAAAUACCUCCUAAAAUCAGAAUGUUCCUUUGGUUGGUGCUGAGGGAAAGCAUUUUAACUAGAGACGUUCUGCUGAAUAGGGGUGAAAAAUGUGAACAGAUUGUCUUUUCUGUGGCCAUAAAGACUCGAUAAAUCAUCUGUUUUGCUAAGUACAUUUGGAAUGUGAUCCAGUGUAGUCUGCGGGUUGAAUGUAGAUUCGCAGAUGCAAAAGCCUGUUUUAAUGGAUGGCUUAAAGGGAUGCACUCCCAGAGGAGAGAAGUAUAUACAGUGGGUGUAGCAGCUGUUCUCUGGGGGAUUUGGAAAGCGAGGAACUUGGCGUGCUUUAAUCAUAAAUGGCCUGUUGAUCCGUCUGUUGUUAUGUUUCGAGUGGCCUAUUGGAUUACUGACUGGAGUGUCUUGCAGGUGUCGGAGGACGCAAAACCAUCACUUCUGGAGCAAGUCGCGGCUGAAGUUUAUGGCGCCAAAAGAAGCUGGGCGAUGGGAGCUGAUGCUGGGAUUGUGAUGUCUUAGGAUUGUGUUCGGGCUGCGUUCAUUUUCUUUGUUAGUGUUCAUGUUGUGUCUCCGUCCUUGUUAGACUUCCCCGGUUAUCUGCAUGUUGCUGGAGUUAAUUUCCUAGGCUGUUGUUCAGCUAGGGGUCUAUCUUCUCCCUUGGGUCAGUUCGAUCUCAGGGUGUGGAGUCGCUUUUGUGUGGCGGGUGGUUGUAAAGAAUGAUUUGGUUUCUUUAAAUGAAAUCGGGGGAAUCCCCUUUAAAAAGAAAAAGAAAAAAGAAUUAAAGAACA
Aegilops tauschii subsp. strangulata is the source of this 11765-nucleotide non-coding RNA. The record is from RefSeq and is a predicted model, not a curated record. Lineage: Eukaryota; Viridiplantae; Streptophyta; Magnoliopsida; Poales; Poaceae.